CUAGCCUACGGGGGGCAGCAGUGGGGAAUAUUGCACAAUGGGGGAAACCCUGAUGCAGCGACGCCGCGUGAGUGAAGAAGUAUCUCGGUACGUAAAGCUCUAUCAGCAGGGAAGAAAAAAAGUCCUUUGGACUUUGGACGGUACCUGACCAAGAAGCCCCGGCUAACUACGUGCCAGCAGCCGCGGUAAUACGUAGGGGGCAAGCGUUAUCCGGAUUUAUUGGGUUUAAAGGGUGCGCAGGCGGCGAGUUAAGUCAGCGGUAAAAUUUCGGGGCUCAACCCCGACGAGCCGUUGAAACUGG
Molecule: ribosomal RNA, 301 nt
Filed under: uncultured bacterium
Lineage: Bacteria
Description: partial 16S ribosomal RNA
Rfam family: Bacterial small subunit ribosomal RNA
Source: RNAcentral